GUUUUUUCGUUUGGUUAUUUUCUAUUUUUAGCAAGCUGUUAUGGUUCUGGAGCUGGAAAUUGGGGUUCGUGGGAGGUUAUUUCGGGAAAAUUGCCUUUUGGCUCCAGCUCUUCGUGGAAACUACUAAUGAGUACGAGUUAGUUGAAAUGGAUGAGUGCUUGCCUUCUCAUAUCUCUCACUGGAGUGCUAUAUGAAAUAGCAAUGGAAAAAGAACGGAUUUUUUCUGUAAAAUUUUUUAGUUAGACAAUGAAAAUUAAAAAAAUGUUUACCUUUAGGAUUUUUUUUCCCUUACUUUAUGGUAGCCUUUGCAUAAUUAUUUCAAAUUUGGAAUGUUAACUGUUAGGUGUAUGUAUUAAUAUUUGUAGCUAUGUAUUUG
Molecule: unclassified non-coding RNA, 376 nt
Filed under: Hevea brasiliensis (rubber tree)
Lineage: Eukaryota; Viridiplantae; Streptophyta; Magnoliopsida; Malpighiales; Euphorbiaceae
Source: RNAcentral